RNA transcript from Cervus elaphus (red deer), 1796 nucleotides. It is a transcript of the gene named NADH:ubiquinone oxidoreductase complex assembly factor 7, with no coding region annotated. The record is from RefSeq and is a predicted model, not a curated record. NCBI's taxonomy places the organism in Eukaryota, Metazoa, Chordata, Mammalia, Artiodactyla, Cervidae. The transcript is spliced from 11 exons.
CUUCCUGUAGGGGGUGUGGCCCUCACAGGAAACAGACGCAAUCUCCAUUUCCGGGCGGCGCUUCCCUGCAGGCGAAGUUGGGCAUGAACUUCUUGGCGGCAGCCGGAGCUAGGCGGCUGUGCGCAAUGCGCGCAGUCUUUCCUUAUCGUUGGAGAGGAAAGUACUUCAGCUCUGGGAAUGAGCCUGCAGAAAACAACUCUGUGACCCCCAUGCUGAGGCAUCUUAUAUACAAAAUCAAGUCUACUGGUCCCAUCACUGUGGCCGAGUACAUGAAGGAGGUCUUGACAAACCCAGCCAAGGGCUAUUACAUGAACCGUGACAUGCUAGGAGAAGAAGGAGAUUUCAUUACUUCACCUGAAAUAAGUCAGAUGUUUGGGGAGCUCCUAGGGAUAUGGUUCAUCAGUGAAUGGAUAGCCGCUGGAAAAAAUGCAGCUUUCCAACUGGUGGAACUAGGCCCAGGCAAGGGAACCCUCUUGGGAGAUAUUUUGAGGGUAUUUAGUCAACUUGGGUCUUUGCUGAAAAACUGUGACAUUUCACUACAUCUGGUAGAGGUGAGCCAGAAAUUAAGUGAGAUUCAAGCAUUAACGUUGACUGAAGAGAAGGUCCCAUUAGAGCGAAAUGCUGAAUCCCCAGUAUAUAUGAAAGGUGUCACUAAAUCUGGAAUUCCAGUUUCUUGGUACCGAGAUCUGCAAGAUGUUCCAAAAGAGUACAGCUUUUAUCUCGCACAUGAAUUUUUCGAUGUUCUUCCUGUGCAUAAGUUUCAGAAAACACCACACGGAUGGCGAGAAGUACUUGUUGACAUUGAUCCACAGGUUUCUGAUAAACUGAGAUUUGUUUUGGCGCCAUGUGCCACCCCAGCAGAAGCGUUCAUACAAAAUGAUGAAACAAGGGAUCAUGUGGAAGUGUGUCCUGAGGCUGGUGUUGUUAUUCAGGAACUUUCUGAACGCAUUUCACUAACUGGAGGUGCUGCCCUGAUCGCGGAUUAUGGUCAUGACGGGACGAAGACAGACACUUUCAGAGGGUUUUGUGGCCACAGACUUCAUGAUGUCCUAACUGCCCCGGGAACAGCAGACCUAACAGCUGACGUGGACUUCAGUUACUUGCGUAGAAUGUCCCAGGGGAAAGUAGCUUCCCUGGGUCCAAUAGAACAACAAACGUUUUUAAGAAAUAUGGGCAUUGAUGUCCGGCUGAAGAUUCUUUUAGAUAAAACAGAGGAGCCAUCAUUGAGGCAGCAGUUACUUCAGGGGUAUAAUAUGUUAAUGAAUCCUAUGAAGAUGGGAGAAAGAUUUAACUUUCUUGCCUUGGUACCUCAUCAGAGACUUCAUGGUAGAAAUCAUCAGACAAAUGCACGUCAGUCAAAACCCUGUCCAUCACCUGUAGCUGGGUUUGGUGAACUUGCUUGGCGGUGAUAUUUCAGUUUGGACUUUUCACCCCCAAGUUGGCCUAAGAAACUAGAAUAAAAGGAACAUGUUUUAUAUAUCACAGAUGACAGCAUACAGAGAACAACAGUUAUGCAGCAAAAUGCCAGUCCGUAACAUGAAAUGCUUCCUUAUUGAAGUUAGCUCAUUGGUAACUAAGGAUCUUCUUCCAUGUCAUCUGGAUUGGGAGCCAUAAUGAAGUGCUUUGGGUAUACAAGGUUAUGUGUGUAUGCAUGUAUUUCCCAGCGGGCAUCGUCACUUUCAUGUGUAAUGUAACGUUCACCAAUGCGAGUUUCAAAUUCUCUAAGGUCGAGCCAAGUCUGAUAGUCCUGGGGGGGAAAAAUGAAGAUUAUGAACAGUAAAAGAAACAAAACACUA